UUUACCACUGAGAUUUAAUUCCCAGCCCUAACAAUGACACACAAACAAGGAAAAAGUGCAUUCCUCUCUUCUUAAAAGGGCACUGGGGAGCUGAGGAGUCAACGUGAGCACACCCUCAUGCCAUUCAUUAGGUGACUGAUGUGGUUUGGAGUUGUGAAGAUGAAGACAAGCCAGGAUUUGGCUGUAGCUAUGUUCAGCUCUUCAUAAAAUGCCUGAAUAAUAUUGUCUGCAGACUAUAAGCUAUGUCUCAACAGGAGUGACAAGGCAUCACUGAGGGUAGAUGUCACCAGUAUUUACACUUCCUCUGUGAGGGACAAAUGUCAUGGAAACAGAUCUAGCCCUGGAGAAGAGCUGCAUAAUUCACCCAAUCAUUGCUAUAAGAAAAGCUGGAAACUUGAAGUUGACCUUUUGAUCUUCAGGCUAUAAG
Molecule: long non-coding RNA, 427 nt
Organism: Pezoporus flaviventris
Lineage: Eukaryota; Metazoa; Chordata; Aves; Psittaciformes; Psittacidae
Exons: 3
Source: RefSeq, a predicted model, not a curated record